This 503-nucleotide ribosomal RNA is filed under the name uncultured bacterium. RNAcentral's name for it is "partial 16S ribosomal RNA". It matches the Rfam family "Bacterial small subunit ribosomal RNA", at positions 28 to 523 of the family's 1533-position model. The record is from RNAcentral.
GAUGAACGCUAGCGAUAGGCCCAACACAUGCAAGUCGAGGGGCAGCAUAGAGUAGCAAUACUUUGAUGGCGACCGGCGCACGGGUGAGUAACACGUAUGCAACCUACCUACAUCAGGGGAAUAACCCGGAGAAAUUCGGACUAAUACCGCAUAAUACAGGGAUGCCGCAUGGCAAUAUUUGUUAAAGAUUUAUCGGAUGUAGAUGGGCAUGCGUUCCAUUAGCUAGUUGGUAAGGUAACGGCUUACCAAGGCAACGAUGGAUAGGGGAACUGGGAGGUUUGUCCCCCAAACUGGAACUGAGACACGGACCAGACUCCUACGGGAGGCAGCAGUGAGGAAUAUUGGUCAAUGGACGAGAGUCUGAACCAGCCAAAUCGCGUGAAGGAAGACUGCCCUACGGGUUGUAAACUUCUUUUGUACAGGAAUAAAAGACAUUACGUGUAAUGUAUUGCAUGUACUGUACGAAUAAGCAUCGGCUAACUCCGUGCCAGCAGCCGCGGUAA